RNAcentral lists this ribosomal RNA (460 nucleotides) under uncultured bacterium. RNAcentral's name for it is "partial 16S ribosomal RNA". It matches the Rfam family "Bacterial small subunit ribosomal RNA", at positions 338 to 795 of the family's 1533-position model. The record is from RNAcentral.
CCUACGGGGGGCAGCAGUGAGGAAUAUUGGUCAAUGGACGAGAGUCUGAACCAGCCAAGUAGCGUGAAGGAUGACUGCCCUAUGGGUUGUAAACUUCUUUUAUAUGGGAAUAAAAUGUUACACGUGUGGGAUUUUGUAUGUACCAUAUGAAUAAGGAUCGGCUAACUCCGUGCCAGCAGCCGCGGUAAUACGGAGGAUCCGAGCGUUAUCCGGAUUUAUUGGGUUUAAAGGGAGCGUAGGUGGAUUGUUAAGUCAGUUGUGAAAGUUUGCGGCUCAACCGUAAAAUUGCAGUUGAAACUGGCAGUCUUGAGUACAGUAGAGGUGGGCGGAAUUCGUGGUGUAGCGGUGAAAUGCUUAGAUAUCACGAAGAACUCCGAUUGCGAAGGCAGUUCACUGGACUGCAACUGACACUGAGGCUCGAAAGUGUGGGUAUCAAACAGGAUUAGAUACCCCAGUAGUC